This 512-nucleotide ribosomal RNA is filed under the name uncultured bacterium. RNAcentral describes it as "bacterial SSU rRNA". It matches the Rfam family "Bacterial small subunit ribosomal RNA", at positions 34 to 518 of the family's 1533-position model. The record is from RNAcentral.
CGCUGGCGGCGUGCCUAAUACAUGCAAGUCGAACGGUCUUUCUAUGGAAGCUUGCUUCCACUGAGAAGAUAGUGGCGAACGGGUGAGUAACACGUGGGUAACCUGCCCAUAAGAGGGGGGAUAACAUCCGGAAACGGGUGCUAAUACCGCAUAGUUUUCUUGAUCGCAUGAUUGAGAAAGGAAAGACGGCCUUUGUGCUGUCGCUUAUGGAUGGACCCGCGGCGUAUUAGUUAGUUGGUGAGGUAACGGCUCACCAAGACGAUGAUACGUAGCCGACCUGAGAGGGUGAUCGGCCACAUUGGGACUGAGACACGGCCCAAACUCCUACGGGAGGCAGCAGUAGGGAAUCUUCCGCAAUGGACGAAAGUCUGACGGAGCAACGCCGCGUGAGUGAAAGAAGGUUUUCGGAUCGUAAAACUCUGUUGUCAGAGAAGAACAAGUCGGAGAGUAACUGCUCCGGCCUCGACGGUAUCUGACCAGAAAGCCACGGCUAACUACGUGCCAGCCGCCGC